Molecule: ribosomal RNA, 114 nt
Filed under: Propithecus coquereli (Coquerel's sifaka)
Lineage: Eukaryota; Metazoa; Chordata; Mammalia; Primates; Indriidae
Source: RNAcentral
AUCUAUGGCCAUACCACCCUGAACACUCCCAUCAAUCUCGUCUGUCUCAGAAGCCAAGCAAGGUCAGGCUUGGUUAGUACUUGGAUGGGAGAAGGGAAGAAACAGCUGUGAACC